AUACGGAGGCUGCGAGCGUUAUCCGGAUUUAUUGGGUUUAAAGGGAGCGUAGGUGGGAUAUUAAGUCAGCUGUGAAAGUUUGGGGCUCAACCUUAAAAUUGCAGUUGAUACUGGUUUCCUUGAGUACGGUACAGGUGGGCGGAAUUCGUGGUGUAGCGGUGAAAUGCUUAGAUAUCACGAAGAACUCCGAUCGCGAAGGCAGCUCACCGGGCCGGAACUGACACUGAUGCUCGAAAGUGCGGGUAUCAAACAGGAUUAGAUACCCUGGUAGUCCGCACAGUAAACGAUGAAUACUCGCUGUUUGCGAUACACUGUAAGCGGCCAAGCGAAAGCGUUAAGUAUUCCACCUGGGGAGUACGCCGGCAACGGUGAAACUCAAAGGAAUUGACGGGG
This 393-nucleotide ribosomal RNA is filed under the name uncultured bacterium. RNAcentral describes it as "partial 16S ribosomal RNA". It matches the Rfam family "Bacterial small subunit ribosomal RNA", at positions 523 to 918 of the family's 1533-position model. The record is from RNAcentral.